UAGGGAAUCUUCCGCAAUGGACGAAAGUCUGACGGAGCAACGCCGCGUGAGCGAUGAAGGCCUUCGGGUCGUAAAGCUCUGUUGUUAGGGAAGAACAAGUAUCGGAGUAACUGCCGGUACCUUGACGGUACCUAACCAGAAAGCCACGGCUAACUACGUGCCAGCAGCCGCGGUAAUACGUAGGUGGCAAGCGUUGUCCGGAAUUAUUGGGCGUAAAGCGCGCGCAGGCGGUCCUUUAAGUCUGAUGUGAAAGCCCACGGCUCAACCGUGGAGGGUCAUUGGAAACUGGGGGACUUGAGUGCAGAAGAGGAAAGCGGAAUUCCACGUGUAGCGGUGAAAUGCGUAGAGAUGUGGAGGAACACCAGUGGCGAAGGCGGCUUUCUGGUCUGUAACUGACGCUGAGGCGCGAAAGCGUGGGGAGCAAACAGGAUUAGAUACCCUGGUAGUCCACGCCGUAAAUGAUGAGUGCUAAGUGUUAGAGGGUUUCCGCCCUUUAGUGCUGCA
Molecule: ribosomal RNA, 504 nt
Filed under: uncultured Bacillota bacterium
Lineage: Bacteria; Bacillati; Bacillota
Description: bacterial SSU rRNA
Rfam family: Bacterial small subunit ribosomal RNA
Source: RNAcentral